This is a long non-coding RNA of Alligator mississippiensis (American alligator), 1701 nucleotides long. RefSeq lists it as uncharacterized. The record is from RefSeq and is a predicted model, not a curated record. NCBI's taxonomy places the organism in Eukaryota, Metazoa, Chordata, Crocodylia, Alligatoridae. The transcript has 2 exons.
UGGCACCAAAGGAAAAAAAAUGAACAGUCUUUCUUUUGCCUUUCACUCUUUCCCCUCUUCUCCCAGAGAGUUAGUUUUGGCUUUAGAAGCAGCUGCCACACAGGCAUUUAGUUAUUUCACCCAUUAAAAGGACCAGGACGCCCCUCCCCCCCCAGUCCGCUACAUAAAAUGCAAAGCUGUGUGUUUAGAGUUUAUGAACUACCUUCCAGCAAGUACCUCGGCAAUGCAAACAGCACGGCAGCUCUCCCCCGUGCGCUAGCUUGGCUGCUCUGUUUGCUGGGGGGGGGGGUCCGGUCCCUGACACCGUUCCUCCGCGCAGCCGGCUUUGCCCGCAGCCUCUGCGCUUGCUGAAACGGCUCCGCGGGGCUAUGAUGAACCCAGCAAGCGCGGCGCUCCCAGGGCUCCACGCUAGCCCCAAAACAAGCCAGAGCAGUAGGGGUGCGUGUGUAUACAUAUACAUCUGUAUCCCCAUCAGGCAGCAGAACCACCAGGUCAGAGAAUCUGGAAGAGAGAGAGAGAGAGUGUGUGUGUGUGUGUGUGUUGGGGGGGAGACACAGCUCGGGAUGGCAGAGCGGGAUGGGGAAAGGCGGUGUUACGUUUGCACCCGAAGUCACCUGUGGCUGCCUGCUGGGACAAGGAGCCGGCGGGUGGGUGCCGGGGUGCCGGCAGCACCCCCCGUCUCCCCGUGCUCGGGGUCGGGCGGGCGGCGGGGUGGACAGGCUCUGCUCGGCGCUUCCCAGCUCCCCUCCGGGGACUGAGCCGACUGAAUGGGGAAGCCUCCUCGCUGAGUUUCCCUCGCACUGGAAGUGCUCCAAACACACGCGCACACAUACGCACAACCCUUGCACAGGAUUCCUACCAACACACCCCCCUCGCAUAGGAUUACAUACAUAACCCUUGCACAAGAUUGCUCCCAGCACACACACAAACACCCCGGCUUGCAUCGGAUUCCACCCCUCCUCCCCUUGCACACACAGGACCCCUCCCACCCCCCUCCGGGAAGCAGAAGUUCAAAGGGCUUUGACUCCGUCCUCCCGAGGUGGGACGCGGAGGAUCGGCGCGUGGGUAAGUGUGCGAGUGUGUGCGCGCGUGUGUCACACGGCUGGAAGGGGCUCGCCCGCGCCCUCCGGAGGGAGCCUCCCCCCGCCUGGGGCCGAGGGAGCCCCGGGCCCUGCAGCCUCCUGGGAAACAGCCCCGGGAUGGGGGAAGAGAGGCCGAAGCGGUUCUGCAAAAAGUUUCGAAGGACGAGUCUGCUGGGUAGCGCUUGCACACGCGCGCCCGCGGGCGGGCACACGCACGCCCAGGCGGCGCACGUGGGCCAGCGGCGUUGCGCCUUGUGUGCGUGUCCUCCCUACACACACACACACACACACACCUUGACAAGCCCAAACUCUCCCUGCGGAGUUAUGUGGGUCUUCCUGUGGGGACAGGGCUCGCCCUCCAGCUCCACCCACAGACAAGUCCUAGACUCAGUAGUAGGGAAUGACCCCCCCAUAACGCACACACGUAGGGUUAUCCUAGGGGGUGUCCCCGACACACACUUGACAAGCCCCGGCGGAGUUAUCCUAGGGGUGUCCCCGUGGGGACACGGCUCCCUCCAGCUCCAGCUCCAGCCAGGAGGAGCCCUGGACUGAGCAGCAGGGAAGGGCGCUCCCCCCCCCCCUGACACGCACACGCACAAAAUAAAAAGAGAGUUGUUGA